RNAcentral lists this long non-coding RNA (210 nucleotides) under Drosophila guanche. Lineage: Eukaryota; Metazoa; Arthropoda; Insecta; Diptera; Drosophilidae. The record is from RNAcentral.
CUUUGUAUAAAAGCAGUUACAUCAUUAGAUGUGAGGUCAGGGGCAAGCCGAGAGACAAAAACUUGCCGCUUUGGUGGGACUCCCACCAGAGGUUUUGGCACCACUGAUCUGGUACCUGUGACGGCAAUAUCCGGUGGUCCGGGACGUUUAUUAACUGGUGGGAUCGAAAUAGAUGGGAUGGGCUUUGGAACGGACUCGACAGACACGGAC